GGAGUUCCUGUGCUGCGAGCAUCACCCGGGCCUUGUUGGACAUGCAGAGUUUGGGGCCCCACGACAGACCUACUGACUUAGAUUUUAUGUUUUAAUGUGCCGCACUAUGAUUCACGUCCACAUUCAAGUUUAAGAAGCACUGACAGGGUGGAGUUACCCAAGGUGAAAGCAGUCCCUACAAAUCCGGUGGGAACCAGAUUGGGGAACCCGGAAUCUGGUGGGAACCAGGCUAGCCGCCCAACCGCAUUUAAAAUGUAAAGUUCAAGAGAUGCUUCAGGGUAAGGAAAUAGCGUCCUUGAUAUGGUAUCUUUGACUUCGAACUUGGUUUCAUAUUUGUUU
This 339-nucleotide long non-coding RNA is filed under the name Vulpes vulpes (red fox). RNAcentral's name for it is "lncRNA (ENSVVUG00000011433.1)". Lineage: Eukaryota; Metazoa; Chordata; Mammalia; Carnivora; Canidae. The record is from RNAcentral.